AUAAUAAUUAAACCGCAUGGUUUAGUUAAAGAUGGUCUUGCUAUCACUAAGAGAUGGCCCCGCGGUGUAUUAGUUAGUUGGUGAGGUAAUGGCUCACCAAGACAAUGAUACAUAGCCGAGUUGAGAGACUGACCGGCCACAAUGGGACUGAGACACGGCCCAUACUCCUACGGGAGGCAGCAGUAGGGAAUCUUCCACAAUGGACGAAAGUCUGAUGGAGCAACGCCGCGUGUGUGAUGAAGGGUUUCGGCUCGUAAACACUGUUGUAAGAGAAGAAUGACAUUGAGAGUAACUGUUCAAUGUGUGACGGUAUCUUACCAGAAAGGAACGGCUAAAUACGUG
This 342-nucleotide ribosomal RNA is filed under the name uncultured bacterium. Its description in RNAcentral is "bacterial SSU rRNA". It matches the Rfam family "Bacterial small subunit ribosomal RNA", at positions 173 to 507 of the family's 1533-position model. The record is from RNAcentral.